CUCUGACUCUCUAUAGCGGUUUUAAUUCGCCAAAGGGUAAGUUUGUCAAAUCAAAAACGCAGAAUAUUUUGCUUACCGGAUAAAGUUAUCCGAAUACGAACUAAACCAACGAAUGACCUCGGGAAUGUUCGGUUCAGCUCUAAUGCAAAAAGAGCCAUUAUAUUUCAAGGGGCGUUAAUCGAAUGCUAACCAUCUAUCAGUGAAGACGAUCCAUGAGACGUUAGUGUGACAAGUGAUUGACAAAAGAAAGUUAACUAUACAGUGGACCUAGAAGACCAAGAAAAGUCAGGCCGUGACGGAUUUCGUGAAUAGAAAUCAGGAAAAACUGAAACAGAAAAUAUACGGCACUAGGGACACCUCGGUAGAACAACCACGUGUGCGAAGUUUCGAGAAGACCAAGAAUAAACCCUUCAAACGAAGGUCAUACCCUCAGGCGACAAGUUCUGGUGGAAUUGCCCUAAAGGGUUCUGGGCACGUGUCGGACUAAAGAGCCAAACCCUCCAAUAAGCUCCGAGAGUUCGGCCAGCCGGUUACUCGUCACAACCCCGGCGACCAUCAUCAGCAAGCCGAACCGCCCGUCGACAUCCACCACCGCCGCCUUCGUAGGCCCCGAGCGGCGUCACUCGCCAAUAUCCAUCGACCCCGUCGUCGGCGUCGAGCCGAGUCGUCUGACGUCACCAUCUGUCAGCCGCGAGCUUUCUUAGCGGGCUGACGUCACCCAUUCGCAGCACAUCAGAGCUCUAUGUUGCAUGCAUGCUACAAUUGAAAGCUUCGCCGAAACCGCUUCGGUGACACGACACCGCAGCAACUUCCAUCGCGCGCAACAUCAGUGCUACAACCCAUCGCAACCCGAAGAAAAAAAGUGAGUGCAAAGAUCCUACGACUAACCCCAUGCAUGGAAAAUAAAUGGAUUCGAAUCAGA
Aedes albopictus (Asian tiger mosquito) is the source of this 922-nucleotide long non-coding RNA. RefSeq lists it as uncharacterized. The record is from RefSeq and is a predicted model, not a curated record. The transcript has 3 exons. Lineage: Eukaryota; Metazoa; Arthropoda; Insecta; Diptera; Culicidae.